RNA transcript from Ananas comosus (pineapple), 3360 nucleotides. It is a transcript of the gene named serine/arginine-rich splicing factor 4-like, with no coding region annotated. Lineage: Eukaryota; Viridiplantae; Streptophyta; Magnoliopsida; Poales; Bromeliaceae. The transcript is spliced from 3 exons. The record is from RefSeq and is a predicted model, not a curated record.
GGGGUUUAUACUCCUCGGAUCGAUCGAUGCUGAGAUAUAGAGGCGAAGGGGGAGAAGAGAACGACGAUGCGAUCAAUCUAGGGUUUCAUUGAUUCCUUCAUUUCGCUGCUCCUCCAUCGAACAAAUGUCCUUGCAUAUAGGUCGGCUUUCCUCUCAUGCUCGAAGAGGAGACCUUGAACGGGCUUUCCGGAGGUUUGGGCGUUGCAGCGUACAGCUAAAAGAUGGAUAUGGAUUUGUUAUAUAUGAAGUUAUUGCUAAUGCAGAGAGAGCUUUGCGAGCGCUGAGGGGGAAAAUCAUUUGUGGGGAACAAAUUUCUCUUAAUUGGUCAAACAGACAGCCCCAGCCUUUUCAAAGAUUUACAAAGGGGUCCAGAUUCAACGAACCCUACCAAGGAAAAGAUUUUUCAACAUAUAAUCAUGAAGUAAAUCAUACCGGCAAUGCACCUGAUAAGGAGGCAAACGAAAUUAAUGAUGACAUGAAGGAUAGUAAAGAUAAUAAAAGUGAAAGUUUGAAAGGUAUGAUGGUAGAUGAAGAUGGUGCAGUUGAGCCCAAUCCCCUCGAAAAUGAUCGAUGGGGGGAAAAUGGGAACGAAUCUGACCGCUAUGAACCUUAUCAUGGUUAUGAAAGAAGAGAUGAAAACGAAAACGAAAACUUUCUGAAAGGUAGUUCUUAUGAAUCCCCAAAUCGUGGCAAUUCUCAGAAAAACCGGCGGGGAAAGCGCCCAAUUGAGUAUUUUGAUGCGAAGCCUGAUAGUUCAAAACCUCAGCUGAUCUGCUAUAAUUGUGGAUUAGUUGGCCAUAUAAAACGUAAUUGCCAACAGAUCAAAGCUCGUCACAAGGAGUUCAAAUUUAAUCACAGGGGAUAUGAAAUGAAUCUCAGAGAUCGAAGGAAGGUAAUGCUGAAGAGGUUUAGACCUAAUUCAUGGGAAAGGUCACGACGCUUGCAUGAUGGCAAGAAAUUUCUUUAUGAAAAAACGGGAAGAGCAGAUAAGAUGAGUGAUAUUUCUGCAGAAACAGCCAAAUUGAGAAGAGAUUCCAAACGAAGAAAAAGAAGAAGGUUGGAAGAAGAAGAUUUUAAGCAAGGUUUCAAGAACAUGAGGACUGGAGGAAGGAGAUAUUGCAGAUCUUCACGAUCUUCUGAUUCUUGUACAACUAGCUCAUGGUCAUGUUCACGGUCCAAAAGAAGUGCUUCAGGUACAAGCUCUUCUUCACAAUCGAAGUUGGCAUCUUCUCGCUCACCCUCGCAGUCAGUAUCCUCUCGUUUGCGGUCUGCUUCAAAGUCAUCACGCUUUCAAUCUAGAAGUUCAAGGACUAGGUCAAGAUCGAGGUCUGGGUCCAGGUCAAGUUCCAGUUUCCCUCAAUCGCUCUCUUUAUCUGUUUCGCUGGAACAUAAGCCAACUCCCCCUACCGUUGGUGGGCAAGUGGAAGUUCUGAUGAAUGGUAAUGAUGCACAAAAUGAUGUAGAAAGGCACACACUUUCAUGCAAGGCUGAGUAUAAUGAAAAUCAUUCAUGUGGUAAUUUGUCCAAAGGUGAUACUGUUGUGCCUGAUAAAUGCGAGAGAAACAAUUCUUUGAGACUAACAACUGAGGAACUGUGCUUGGCUCUUAGACACUAUGGGUUGGAAACACCGCAGGAGGGACAGUUGGAUUUAUCAACUGAGGAGUAUUUUGGUGCUGCUAGAUUGUGGCCAUGGGAAAUUGUUUACUGCCGGCAGCGUAAAAAGGGUCCGAUUUCUACAGAAAAUUAUGCGAGACGGCUUGAACAAAACAGAGAAUAUGGUAUCGUGGAUACGUAUAUAAGAAGCAGCAGUGGUUGGUGGGAGUGCAAUCAACAUGAGUGCAAUCAAAAUGUUCCAUGAACAUCGUAACCUUCUUGCUAUUGGUUUAUUUUGUUUUUUGAUCUGCUCAAACCUUGCAGUUUUGAGGAUUUCAAGUUUUUCAUGCAAUUUUCGUCUAGACAUGAAAUUCCUCUUCUAUUGUUAGGUAAUGACAUCUUGGCCUCGAUUCUCGGAGAUUAAAAAAAUAAUCAAGUGUCUAGAUAUUUUGAGUCAUUUUUUUGGCGUUAGAAAGUUGAAAAAUUUUCUCCACGAAGGCUGUGUAGAGAUUUAUACCGGAAACUAAUCGCACUACUAAAAUCUUCAUGCUAUUACUCAGAGAGCAUGUGCUAAUGCAAGGUUUCAUUAUAUCCUCCAUGGGAAUUUAUUCAAGAGUUGAUGUAAUGAUCUCCUCAAGGUAUUUCCUUUUGCCCACUGAAAUUUAUAUUUUGUGCCUUCUCUAUUAUGAUAUAACUUUUCAAUAUAUAGUUGGUUUGGAGAUAACUUUCUGUUUACUUCUGUUUUUGUAAUCGUCCAUAGGGAUACCCUCAAACUGCUUGCAUUUCGGCACCUCGUUCUAUAUGCCAUUGCUGUUUAUUCAAUGCUAAUUAAAGAGUGUCAGAGUAUUGUUGAAAAAAUUGAUGCCAUCUUUUGUUGUUAUGUCUCAUCUUCCUUUAUGACCUUUAUCUCAUACGUCCGCCUCAUUUAAUUUCUUUUACCAUUCAUUUUGGUUUCAUCAAUAUAUCGUGUCUGAAGAAAAGAAUAGAAAUUGAUGUGUUUCCCUUUCGGCUCAACUUCAUCUGUUGGCCUGAUACAUGGCUCUUGUCACCUACAGAUAAGAGCUUUUUAAUGGGUUGCCCAUAAACACUUUGUACCCAAUGGUUAUAUGAAAUCUCUCUAGGAAACACUCUAUAAGACGAAUGCCUUGGCCCGUAGACCUGUUUCGACAAGGAUUAUAAACAAACUAGUUGAAGCUUCAUUCGUUUCUGGUCGUGUUUGAUGGGUUGUCGAGAUUGUAUAGCGGCUAGUAAACUCGCAUUUAGAGAGCUUUGCUUCGUGCAUAGCUUGUAGAAGUUUGUCUUAUACUUUGCCUGUUAGUGUUCAAUCUGAAUAAAUACAGCUAUGUUAAUGCUUUCUACAUACAAAUACUUUUUCGAACAUUAGUUGAAUAAAUUCAAUAUGUUGAUGUGUUCUUCCUAUAAACAGUUUUGUGGACCACCAAUGUCCUAGAGAGUACAUAGAAGUGAUCUUGAUUGUUAGUUGUAGUGGUGCUUGUACUUGUGUACGAAGAACUUCUUGAUCUUUUUGUUGGCAAUUAUGGAUUAUGGAUUAUAUUUUUUAUUUUUCAUUUUUUUCAGUUUUCUUUUGUUGGCAAUUUUAAUGUUCUUGUAAAUGAAGAAGACUAAGAUGAUGGAGAUUGCUAGAUCUCUUUCACUCUCUCUCUCUCUUACGUACUAGGAUAGUGAUGUAGAGAGAAUUGACAAGGAGUAAGAAAAUGUAUUACCCAUACGCACUAAUAUGUAUAGCAUUUUUAAAAAUUCAGAUAA